Nicrophorus vespilloides is the source of this 220-nucleotide long non-coding RNA. RefSeq lists it as uncharacterized. The transcript is spliced from 2 exons. The record is from RefSeq and is a predicted model, not a curated record. NCBI's taxonomy places the organism in Eukaryota, Metazoa, Arthropoda, Insecta, Coleoptera, Silphidae.
CUUUCUAGAACGAUAUCCUAUUUGAUUUUUUUUAUCGGAACUGCAUUUUCGCCCAAGGACGAAACACUCCAUUCGAUAACAUAUUUCCUGAUUGCAUAGCAGAAAUCGUUUAUUGAAGGAUGUUUAUUCAUUGGAAUACGAAUCGCCAGUAGCUUUACACACGAACAAUAUAAGCAAUCUAUUUUAAAAUCCAAUAAAAAUUGCACUAUUAAGAUGGAAA